AGGUCUCAUCUGCUGCUGUCACCAUCUCCGCAGCUGCAGCUCCCUCUGCCUCCAUCCUGGGAAACUGUGCUGCACUGGCUGCAGCUGUAUGGCACAGCUUUGGGAACAGCUGAAGGGCACUUCAUCUGAAGCAAAAGAACAAAACCAGUUCAUGAUUUCUGUGAAGGUGUCCUGAUACUAGUGCAAGCUGAAUGCCAUAAGUCAAGCAAUCCUUUGAGGCACCAAAGUUUGGUCACUUAAGAAGUCCAGUGUAAGGUCAGCUGCAAUCCAUCAAUAAAGCCUUGAGGUCUGUACAAAGAGGAUCCAGAUUUUGGAUGAAUCCGAGCACACAGAUAUAGGACCUUGCACAGUAAAUAGGCAUUUGGCAGAUGUUUAUGUUGCUUCGAAGCUGCCUGGUUCUGGGGCAGAUCAACACAGAAAAAGAGCCAUCCUCCUGCCCGUUGCAGCACAGAUUCUGACAAGACAGUAGGUAAAGCAUUGCUCGUUACUGAUGACUGACUUUUACUGAUGGCAUCCUUAGAAACCCACAAAUGAUUGGUUUGGGGAUUGUCAAUGUGGCUAUUUGCAGGUGAUGAAGAAAGGAAGUAAAUAAAAAUAUGAUUUGACAUUUCAUUAGUAAUGCUAGAGAUGGCUGUGCACAGAACAGAGGCAAUGAAUAUUGCACCUGCUGGAGUGCAAGCAAUAAAGGCAAAUGCAUAGCCUGCUCUGACCUCUAGCCUUCAUUACCCAGAACAAUAUGCCAUUCCCUGUAUCCAAAAUCAUACUAUGCCUGUG
This is a long non-coding RNA of Passer domesticus (house sparrow), 774 nucleotides long. RefSeq lists it as uncharacterized. The record is from RefSeq and is a predicted model, not a curated record. The transcript is spliced from 6 exons. NCBI's taxonomy places the organism in Eukaryota, Metazoa, Chordata, Aves, Passeriformes, Passeridae.